UGAGUAACACGUAUCCAACCUGCCGUCUACUCUUGGGCAGCCUUCUGAAAGGAAGAUUAAUACAAGAUGGCAUCAUGAGUCCGCAUGUUCACAUGAUUAAAGGUAUUCCGGUAGACGAUGGGGAUGCGUUCCAUUAGAUAGUAGGCGGGGUAACGGCCCACCUAGUCUUCGAUGGAUAGGGGUUCUGAGAGGAAGGUCCCCCACAUUGGAACUGAGACACGGUCCAA
This 227-nucleotide ribosomal RNA is filed under the name uncultured bacterium. RNAcentral's name for it is "partial 16S ribosomal RNA". It matches the Rfam family "Bacterial small subunit ribosomal RNA", at positions 107 to 334 of the family's 1533-position model. The record is from RNAcentral.